GGGUUGUGAGGUUAAGCGACUAAGCGUACACGGUGGAUGCCCUGGCAGUCAGAGGCGAUGAAGGACGUGCUAAUCUGCGAAAAGCGUCGGUAAGGUGAUAUGAACCGUUACAGCCGGCGAUGUCCGAAUGGGGAAACCCAGUGCAAUUCGUUGCACUAUCGUUAACUGAAUACAUAGGUUAACGAGGCGAACCGGGGGAACUGAAACAUCUAAGUACCCCGAGGAAAAGAAAUCAACCGAGAUUCCCCCAGUAGCGGCGAGCGAACGGGGAGCAGCCCAGAGUCUGAAUCAGCUUGUGUGUUAGUGGAACGGUCUGGAAAGUCCGACGGUACAGGGUGAUAGUCCCGUACACCAAAAUGCACAGGUUGUGAACUCGAAGAGUAGGGCGGGACACGUGGUAUCCUGUCUGAAUAUGGGGGGACCAUCCUCCAAGGCUAAAUACUCCUGACUGACCGAUAGUGAACCAGUACCGUGAGGGAAAGGCGAAAAGAACCCCGGCGAGGGGAGUGAAAAAGAACCUGAAACCGUGUACGUACAAGCAGUGGGAGCACCUUUAUGGUGUGACUGCGUACCUUUUGUAUAAUGGGUCAGCGACUUAUAUUCUGUAGCAAGGUUAACCGUAUAGGGGAGCCGCAGGGAAACCGAGUCUUAACUGGGCGUUAAGUUGCAGGGUAUAGACCCGAAACCCGGUGAUCUAGCCAUGGGCAGGUUGAAGGUUGGGUAACACUAACUGGAGGACCGAACCGACUAAUGUUGAAAAAUUAGCGGAUGACUUGUGGCUGGGGGUGAAAGGCCAAUCAAACCGGGAGAUAGCUGGUUCUCCCCGAAAGCUAUUUAGGUAGCGCCUCGUGAACUCAUCUUCGGGGGUAGAGCACUGUUUCGGCUAGGGGGUCAUCCCGACUUACCAACCCGAUGCAAACUACGAAUACCGAAGAAUGUUAUCACGGGAGACACACGGCGGGUGCUAACGUCCGUCGUGAAGAGGGAAACAACCCAGACCGCCAGCUAAGGUCCCAAAGUCAUGGUUAAGUGGGAAACGAUGUGGGAAGGCACAGACAGCCAGGAUGUUGGCUUAGAAGCAGCCAUCAUUUAAAGAAAGCGUAAUAGCUCACUGGUCGAGUCGGCCUGCGCGGAAGAUGUAACGGGGCUAAACCAUGCACCGAAGCUGCGGCAGCGACGCUUAGGCGUUGUUGGGUAGGGGAGCGUUCUGUAAGCCUGCGAAGGUGGCCUGUGAGGGCUGCUGGAGGUAUCAGAAGUGCGAAUGCUGACAUAAGUAACGAUAAAGCGGGUGAAAAGCCCGCUCGCCGGAAGACCAAGGGUUCCUGUCCAACGUUAAUCGGGGCAGGGUGAGUCGACCCCUAAGGCGAGGCCGAAAGGCGUAGUCGAUGGGAAACAGGUUAAUAUUCCUGUACUUGGUGUUACUGCGAAGGGGGGACGGAGAAGGCUAUGUUAGCCGGGCGACGGUUGUCCCGGUUUAAGCAUGUAGGCGGAGGUUCCAGGUAAAUCCGGUACCUUUUAACGCUGAGGUGUGAUGACGAGGCACUACGGUGCUGAAGUAACAAAUGCCCUGCUUCCAGGAAAAGCCUCUAAGCAUCAGGUAACAUUAAAUCGUACCCCAAACCGACACAGGUGGUCAGGUAGAGAAUACCAAGGCGCUUGAGAGAACUCGGGUGAAGGAACUAGGCAAAAUGGUGCCGUAACUUCGGGAGAAGGCACGCUGGUGUGUAGGUGAAGUCCCUGCGGAUGGAGCUGAGACCAGUCGAAGAUACCAGCUGGCUGCAACUGUUUAUUAAAAACACAGCACUGUGCAAACACGAAAGUGGACGUAUACGGUGUGACGCCUGCCCGGUGCCGGAAGGUUAAUUGAUGGGGUUAUCCGUAAGGAGAAGCUCUUGAUCGAAGCCCCGGUAAACGGCGGCCGUAACUAUAACGGUCCUAAGGUAGCGAAAUUCCUUGUCGGGUAAGUUCCGACCUGCACGAAUGGCGUAAUGAUGGCCAGGCUGUCUCCACCCGAGACUCAGUGAAAUUGAACUCGCUGUGAAGAUGCAGUGUACCCGCGGCAAGACGGAAAGACCCCGUGAACCUUUACUAUAGCUUGACACUGAACAUUGAGCCUUGAUGUGUAGGAUAGGUGGGAGGCUUUGAAGCGUGGACGCCAGUCUGCGUGGAGCCAACCUUGAAAUACCACCCUUUAAUGUUUGAUGUUCUAACGUUGGCCCCUGAUCGGGGUUGCGGACAGUGUCUGGUGGGUAGUUUGACUGGGGCGGUCUCCUCCCAAAGAGUAACGGAGGAGCACGAAGGUUAGCUAAUCCUGGUCGGACAUCAGGAGGUUAGUGCAAUGGCAUAAGCUAGCUUGACUGCGAGCGUGACGGCGCGAGCAGGUGCGAAAGCAGGUCAUAGUGAUCCGGUGGUUCUGAAUGGAAGGGCCAUCGCUCAACGGAUAAAAGGUACUCCGGGGAUAACAGGCUGAUACCGCCCAAGAGUUCAUAUCGACGGCGGUGUUUGGCACCUCGAUGUCGGCUCAUCACAUCCUGGGGCUGAAGUAGGUCCCAAGGGUAUGGCUGUUCGCCAUUUAAAGUGGUACGCGAGCUGGGUUUAGAACGUCGUGAGACAGUUCGGUCCCUAUCUGCCGUGGGCGCUGGAGAAUUGAGGGGGGCUGCUCCUAGUACGAGAGGACCGGAGUGGACGCAUCACUGGUGUUCGGGUUGUCAUGCCAAUGGCACUGCCCGGUAGCUAAAUGCGGAAGAGAUAAGUGCUGAAAGCAUCUAAGCACGAAACUUGCCCCGAGAUGAGUUCUCCCUGAGACUUUAAGUCUCCUGAAGGAACGUUGAAGACGACGACGUUGAUAGGCCGGGUGUGUAAGCGCAGCGAUGCGUUGAGCUAACCGGUACUAAUGAACCGUGAGGCUUAACCUUACAACGCCGAAGCUGUU
This 2932-nucleotide ribosomal RNA is filed under the name Klebsiella variicola. RNAcentral describes it as "bacterial LSU rRNA". It matches the Rfam family "Bacterial large subunit ribosomal RNA". The record is from RNAcentral. Lineage: Bacteria; Pseudomonadati; Pseudomonadota; Gammaproteobacteria; Enterobacterales; Enterobacteriaceae.